AACAACCCAUGGUCUCGCGCGGAAAUGAGCUAAAUGAAAGAGACGUAUCCGGUAGUUAGUAUUUAUCCGGAAUGCUAGUGCGCAAUGGCGGCAAUAAACAAACGAAGCGGAUACGUUGAAGGAAAAACUUCUUUAUUUAUUUCUUACCGUUAUGUAGACCAGUGAAAAUAAUGAACAACGAUUAAUCGCAUAAAUCCCGUGAAGAAUACAAAACUGAAAGUAGGGCAAACAUAGAUCCCUGGACAUAUCAGAGGUGAGAUCAGUGGAUACUGGGGAUAAAGUAGCAGAAAAUUAUGGAAAACAGGGAAGUAAGUGGCAGCCAGGACUAUGGAGGGGAGGUGACAAUGACAGUGAGAUGGCGUUAGGUUGGACACCAGAAGGGAAGAGGGCAUUUAAGAGACCGAAAACAACCUGGAGAGGAACAGUAGAAGCAGAAAGAAAGAUUGCAGAAUGGAGAAACUUGAAUGAGAUCAAGAUGGUAGCAAUAGAACAGAGUGGGUUGGAGAGAGUCUCGGUCCUAUGUGUUUUGGCAUUGAGAGAACUAAGUAAUGUCUAGAUUGUUGGAGAUAGGAUGACCAGGAAUAUGAAUGGAUGUGCUGGAAACUGUACUAAGACCCUUAUGUAUUUGGAUAGAUUUACAUACCAUCAUGAUUUUGCUAUGAAAAACUUGAAAAAAAUCCUCAACUCAUAUUGUAGCUGACAUUAUACAUUUGUACUUAUUAAUAUUUCAAAUGAACAUAUAUUUAGAUAUACAAUAUCUUAAACUUUGGAGUCCAUGUACAUCUCCACAUUGGAUAAUAGGUUAUGAUAUAUGUGUGUGAAAUCUUUUCCUAUGGUAUGCACAUGUUAACACAUUAGUUUAAAUGAUGAUGUACCGGUAUAUCUUAUGACUAUGGAAGAGAAUGUGAUGUGUCUAGAAGAGUUGUUGCCCUUGAAUGUAAUUCAUUAUUUACAUGGGGUUGAAAAAUAAUCCAGCACACAGUAGUACUAAAUGCAUUAUGUUAAAAUGCAUUUAUGAAUGGUAUAAGUGAUACUGUCAAUUACUGAUUAAUACACUUUGUGAAAUCAUAUUAUUGUUAUGUUUAAUAAAUUUCAAGACUGCA
Ostrea edulis (European flat oyster) is the source of this 1103-nucleotide long non-coding RNA. RefSeq lists it as uncharacterized. The record is from RefSeq and is a predicted model, not a curated record. Lineage: Eukaryota; Metazoa; Mollusca; Bivalvia; Ostreida; Ostreidae. The transcript is spliced from 2 exons.